GUGGUAAUGGUGGUAGUGGUGGUAAUGGCCGUAAUGGUGGUAGUGGUGGUAGUGGUGGUAAUGUUAGUAGUGGAAAUAAUGUCGAAAGUAGCAAACAUUGCAAUGUGAAAAACGAUUUUAUUUUCAAAUACUUCAGGGAUAUGAAAAAUCCCAAAACUAGCGACAAUAACGCGAAUAAAAUGUUUGAUAUGGAUUAUAAUAAUGUUACUACUAGUUUUGAUAAAACAGAAAAUGUGAGUGAAAGAAAAAAUAUUUUAUCACAAGAAGCAAUACAUGCAAUGGAAAAUUUGAGUAACGAUAGAGAUAGGAGUAGGGAGCAUAGGCCAAAAAUUGUAGAAAAUGAUAAAAGAUGGAACAAUAGCAAAGACGGGGAAAAAGGUGACAAUCGCAAGAACGUGAAACCAACAAAUGAACAGAAUCAGAACGAAAAAACAGAUGCAGUGACAAAUGAAAAAAAAAAAAAAAAAAAAAAAAAGAUCAGAACAUAGGACAAACAAUAAAAUGCAUGAAGGUAAAAGUAAUGGAGUAAAAAAAGAAAAGGGCUUUCAAAAUGAAGACACGGAAAUGGUGAAUAGACGAAAAAAAAAAAAUAUGAAAGAAGUUGAUAAAGAUAAAGAUAAUGAAGAGUGCAAGUGGGGGAACGAUAUGGUAUCUGAUGCAGAAUCAAAAAAAAAAAACAAAUGGAAUGAAUUGGCUUAUCCGAACAAGUUAACUAAUCAGAGUAAAUUAAAUAAGCUAAAUAAUGAACACGAAUUUAACAAGUUAGAUAAUGGGAGCGAUUCGUACGAAACUACUAUGUUAGAUGAAGCGAAAUAUAUAAAACCUAACAAUUACAAAAGCAAUAUGAUAGACAAAAUAAAAUAUGAAAAUAGUGUAAAAAAAAAGAAAGAGUAUCGUUUAUACGGGGAAAAUGAAUCAGUAAAAACUUAUAGUAAACAUAAUUUCAAAAAGAAUAACAAUUUUAUGAAGGAUUACAACAAUGAUAAUACUAUUGUUAGUAGUUUUGAGUAUAAUACAAAUGAUGAUAAUAUUACUUGUGGUUAUAAAUCAGAUGAACACGUUGACAUAUAUCACAAAAUUGAUAAACCUGCUAUGAACGAGAUGAAAAGUUUUUUAAAUCCACUUAAAAAUAAGUUUUUAUUAAAUUUAUUACCACAAGGUAAAAGAUUUCGAAUUAAUGAAGAAUAUAUAACUUUUCAAAAUAAUGAACGUAUGGAAAAUAUACCUGAACCAUUAGAUGUAAAUAGAAGAAAUUAUUGUAUUAUUCAGAAUAAGCCUGAAUAUUAUAUGGAUGAACAAAGUUCUGAGUUUUCUUAUGAUAGUGGUGAGAGCUUAAAUAAUGACGAUGUUGAAAGUGAUAAUGAUAAUAUCGACGAUAAUAAUAAUAACAUUACUAGAAAAAGGAAAAAGAAACAAAAUAUAAAUGAGAAUGCACAUAAAGAAAUAGUAAAAGUUGGUAGUUUAAUUAAUAAAUUUACUCUAGCAUUUAAAGAUAUGCAAUUAGAAUCAGCUUUUCGAAUACAUAAAAAAAACAAAUUUUAUAAAAC
Long non-coding RNA from Piliocolobus tephrosceles (Ugandan red Colobus), 1547 nucleotides. The record is from Ensembl. NCBI's taxonomy places the organism in Eukaryota, Metazoa, Chordata, Mammalia, Primates, Cercopithecidae.